GAUCCUGGCUCAGGAUGAACGCUAGCGACAGGCUUAACACAUGCAAGUCGAGGGGCAGCGAGGGAGUGGCAACACUUCCGUCGGCGACCGGCGCACGGGUGAGUAACGCGUAUGCAACCUGCCCUUCACAGGGGGAUAACCGGGAGAAAUUCCGACUAAUACCGCAUACGUCCUCCGGGGGCAUCCCCGGGGGAUGAAAGAAUUAUCGGUGAAGGAUGGGCAUGCGUGAUAUUAGGUAGUUGGCGGGGCAAACCGG
Molecule: ribosomal RNA, 256 nt
Filed under: uncultured bacterium
Lineage: Bacteria
Description: partial 16S ribosomal RNA
Rfam family: Bacterial small subunit ribosomal RNA
Source: RNAcentral